UCUGCUGGUAUGCCUGACAGCUCUGCCAGAUAUAAGGGCGUGUGAUGAGGCAUAAAUAGCAAAGGUAAAAAUACUUCAGUUAAAAUGCAUACAAAAAAGAUGCAGUGACAAGACAGGCUACUUUAUUCUAGCAAGAAAGUUCCACAUAACUUUUCUAAAGUUGAAAGGGCAUGAUAGUUAUACCGAAUCGGAUCCUUCUUUCCAUCAUGCCUGUCUCCCAAUUAAAUGCACCAAUAUGUGAUGGGAAUGUCAAUCAACAACUUACCUUGAGGUUUAAAAUUAAAUAGUG
RNAcentral lists this unclassified non-coding RNA (289 nucleotides) under Hevea brasiliensis (rubber tree). The record is from RNAcentral. Lineage: Eukaryota; Viridiplantae; Streptophyta; Magnoliopsida; Malpighiales; Euphorbiaceae.